RNAcentral lists this ribosomal RNA (410 nucleotides) under uncultured bacterium. RNAcentral's name for it is "bacterial SSU rRNA". It matches the Rfam family "Bacterial small subunit ribosomal RNA", at positions 370 to 772 of the family's 1533-position model. The record is from RNAcentral.
AAUGGGCGCAAGCCUGAUCCAGCAAUGCCGCGUGCAGGAAGAAGGCCUUCGGGUUGUAAACUGCUUUUGUCAGGGAAGAAAUCUUCUGGGUUAAUACCCCGGGGGGAUGACGGUACCUGAAGAAUAAGCACCGGCUAACUACGUGCCAGCAGCCGCGGUAAUACGUAGGGUGCAAGCGUUAAUCGGAAUUACUGGGCGUAAAGCGUGCGCAGGCGGUCUUGCAAGACAGAGGUGAAAUCCCCGGGCUCAACCUGGGAACUGCCUUUGUGACUGCAAGGCUAGAGUACGGCAGAGGGAGAUGGAAUUCCGCGUGUAGCAGUGAAAUGCGUAGAUAUGCGGAGGAACACCGAUGGCGAAGGCAAUCUCCUGGGCCUGUACUGACGCUCAUGCACGAAAGCGUGGGGAGCAAA